UACGUAGGGUGCAAACGUUGUUCGGAAUCACUGGGCAUAAAGGGCGCGUAGGCGGUUUGAUAAGUCCUGUGUGAAAGCCCCCGGCUCAACCGGGGAACUGCACUGGAUACUGUCAGGCUAGAGUGUAGAAGAGGAGAGCGGAAUUCCUGGUGGAGCGGUGAAAUGCGUAGAUAUCAGGAGGAACGCCAGUGGCGAAAGCGGCUCUCUGGUCUACUACUGACGCUGAGGCGCGAAAGCUAGGGGAGCAAACGGG
RNAcentral lists this ribosomal RNA (253 nucleotides) under uncultured bacterium. Its description in RNAcentral is "partial 16S ribosomal RNA". It matches the Rfam family "Bacterial small subunit ribosomal RNA", at positions 524 to 776 of the family's 1533-position model. The record is from RNAcentral.